Molecule: ribosomal RNA, 616 nt
Filed under: uncultured fungus
Lineage: Eukaryota; Fungi
Description: eukaryotic LSU rRNA
Rfam family: 5.8S ribosomal RNA (bases 218-372)
Source: RNAcentral
GGAAGGAUCAUUACUGAAUUGUCAACACGAGUUGUUGCUGGUCCUCAAAUGAGGGCAUGUGCACGCUCUGUUUGCACAUCCACUCACACCUGUGCACCUUCUGUGGUUCUGUGGCCUGGGGGACUCUGUCCUCCUGCUGUGGUUCUGCAUCUUUACACACACACACGCUGUAAUAAAGUCUUAUGGAAUGUAUGCCGCGUUUAACGCAAUAUAAUACAACUUUCAGCAACGGAUCUCUUGGCUCUCGCAUCGAUGAAGAACGCAGCGAAAUGCGAUAAGUAAUGUGAAUUGCAGAAUUCAGUGAAUCAUCGAAUCUUUGAACGCACCUUGCGCCCUUUGGCUAUUCCGAUGGGCAUGCCUGUUUGAGUAUCAUGAACACCUCAACUCUCAUGGUUUGCCAUGAUGAGCUUGGACUUUGGGGGUCUUGCUGGCCUAUUGUCAGCUCCUCUAAAAUGAAUCAGCUUACCAGUGUUUGGUGGCAUACACGGGUGUGAUAACUAUCUACGCCUGUGGUUUUGUCUCAGAUAACCUUCAGCGAUGGAGGUUCACUGGAGCUCAUAAAUGUCUCUCCUCAGCGAGGACAGCUCUUUGAAUGUUUGAUCUCAAAUCAGGUAGG